AUGCGCGCGCAUCGCCCGCCGCCGCCGCCGGGCGGUUCCCCGGCGCCGGCGCCCUCUCCGUCCCCGUACCCGUCGCCAAUGCCGUCCCCGACAGCGGCAUUUCAGGGUGGGCUCAUCAGCUCGCCGCCUUCUCCCUCUGCGGUCGCGUCGCCUGGAUCGGCACCCGUGCCUGCGCCAGCGCCGGAGCCUAAUGCGGUGCUCGCGUACACGGGCGCGCGGCGAGGCGGGGGUGGCAUGAGCCCGCCGCUCAUCGCCAUGCUGGCGGUGGUGGGGGCGGCGCUGCUGGUGGUGCUCUACGCGCGGCUGGCCAGGCGCGUGGUCCGAGCCGUCCGGCAGCGGUGGCGCGGUUGGAGGAGGCGGCGGCGGCUGCUGAUGCUCCCGCUCGGCUCCCCGGCGAACGACUCCUUCGCGUCCUUCACCACCUACGACAACUUCUACCACACCUUCUCGCCGUACGGCCUGGACGACGCGGCCAUCAAGUCGCUGCCCUCGGCGCAGUUCCUCAAGGCGGAGGCCGCGCGCGCGAGCGCCGGCGCACGCGACUGCGCCGUGUGCCUGCUUGAGUUCGCCGACGGCGACGAGCUCCGCGCGCUGCCGCUGUGCGCGCACGCCUUCCACGCCGACUGCAUCGACGUCUGGCUCCGCGCGCACGCCUCCUGCCCGCUCUGCCGCGCCGCCGUCGCGCUCCCGCCCCCCGUCUCCUCCCCGCUCCGCUCUGCCCGACGCGUUCGCCCCAGCCUCGACGACCUCCUCUUCUUCCACCCCGUCCCGCCGCCUCCCCAAAACGACGCCGGCGCCCUGCCGGAGAUCACCCCGGCGAGUCCCGAUCAGCUCAACCCGAGGGACUUCCUCCUCAAGCGCUCCUACUCCUUCGGCUUCGAGCGCAACAUCGCCACGGAGGCCGCGUCCACAGCAUCCCCUUCCUGGCGCUACCGCUUGGGCGGCGGCGGCGGCGAAGGCGCCAGCGGCCGAGGCCGAAGCUUCUGGAGCAAGCGCUGGCCGUCUCCAUUCGGCGGCGUCGGGGGCUCCGCGGCGGCCGCAGCCCGUGUCUUCUCGUUCCGCUCGGCCGCGGGCAAGUCCUCCCCCUUCGCCCGCCGCCGCGCCGGCGCAGCCCCCGCAGGAGGCGGGUUUUUCAUGUCCCUGUCCUCCGAGCCCCCGUCCAUCGCCGCGGCGAGGCGGAGCAACCGCGCGUCGAGCCGGCUCCGGUGCGGGGACCCCGAGGCGCUGCUCUCGCCGGACCGUCUCAGCCGCUGA
Molecule: ribosomal RNA, 1254 nt
Filed under: Triticum aestivum (bread wheat)
Lineage: Eukaryota; Viridiplantae; Streptophyta; Magnoliopsida; Poales; Poaceae
Description: partial small subunit ribosomal RNA
Source: RNAcentral